Molecule: ribosomal RNA, 254 nt
Filed under: uncultured bacterium
Lineage: Bacteria
Description: partial 16S ribosomal RNA
Rfam family: Bacterial small subunit ribosomal RNA
Source: RNAcentral
UACGGGGGGAGCAAGCGUUGUUCGGAUUUACUGGGCGUAAAGGGCGCGUAGGCGGCCAGUGCAAGUCAGUUGUGAAAUCUCCGAGCUUAACUCGGAAAGGUCAACUGAUACUGCUCGGCUAGAGUCCGGAAGAGGAGAGUGGAAUUCCUGGUGUAGCGGUGAAAUGCGCAGAUAUCAGGAAGAACACCCGUGGCGAAGGCGGGUCUCUGGGCCGAUACUGACGCUGAGGAGCGAAAGCGUGGGGAGCGAACAGG